CCAAUAGCGUAUAUUAAAGUUGUUGCAGUUAAAAAGCUCGUAGUUGAAUUUCGGGAUCAAUAUGUCGGUCGUGCCUUCGGUACGUACUGGCAUCAUUGGUUUCUCCCUUCUGACAAACCAUGAUGUCAUUAAUUUGGUGUUAUGGGGAAUCAGGACUGUUACCUUGAAAAAAUUAGAGUGUUUAAAGCAGGCUAACGCUUGAAUACAUUAGCAUGGAAUAAUGAAAUAGGACGUUCGAACCUAUUUUGUUGGUUUCUAGGAUCGACGUAAUGAUUAAUAGGGAUAGUUGGGGGCAUUAGUAUUCAAUUGUCAGAGGUGAAAUUCUUGGAUUUAUUGAAGACUAACUACUGCGAAAGCAUUUGCCAAGGAUGUUUUCAUUAAUCAAGAACGAAAGUUAGGGGAUCGAAGACGAUCAGAUACCGUCGUAGUCUUAACCAUAAACUAUGCCGACUAGGGAUCGGAUGAUGUUAAUUUUUUAAUGACUCAUUCGGCGCCUUACG
This 500-nucleotide ribosomal RNA is filed under the name uncultured Glomeromycotina. RNAcentral's name for it is "SSU rRNA". It matches the Rfam family "Eukaryotic small subunit ribosomal RNA", at positions 591 to 1092 of the family's 1831-position model. The record is from RNAcentral. Lineage: Eukaryota; Fungi; Glomeromycota.